This is a long non-coding RNA of Galleria mellonella (greater wax moth), 2036 nucleotides long. RefSeq lists it as uncharacterized. The record is from RefSeq and is a predicted model, not a curated record. The transcript has 3 exons. Lineage: Eukaryota; Metazoa; Arthropoda; Insecta; Lepidoptera; Pyralidae.
UGUAAUUUAAGAUUUUGCUCAGCAAAAAAAGAAAACAGCGACAAAUUUAUACGAAAGGAACCUCUAUCAAUUGCAAACAGAACGAUUUUAUUAUUACUAUUAUGAAGUUAUUUAAAAAUGGAUAUUUGAAUAGUCUUUCACUUUCAUUGAUAUACAUGGAAGACUAUUAUGUUACGAGUACUAAUACAAGUAGUAUUACUAGAGACUAGAGUAUGGUAUUUUUCAAGAAGGGUAUAUUAAGGUUUUUUCAGGAUCGGCAACGCGUACAUGAGUGUUGCAAGCGUCCAUAGGUUACAGUGACCAUUUAACCAUCAGACGGAUGUAUGCUUGUUUGUCACCUUCGUGAUAUAAAAAAAAGUCAUACAUAAAAUUCUGAUAGCAUAAAACAAUUUGUAAUUAUUAUCCACGUAGGUAAAGUUAUAGGCAUUCCCUAACUCAGAAUAAAAAAUAAUAUUAUUAUCAUGACUAUAGUUCCAAAUAGAAUGAUAAGAAAAAUCGUCAAUUUAUCAGCCUUGGGUUGAUAUUAUAUUGUUGAUAAUAUUUGAUUAGUUCAUGUAUGUAUAUUUACUUAUACACAUUUGGAUUCAAUAGUAGAACGAAUAUAUUUUAGUUUAGCUAAUAAAUAUAAAUGGCGACUUAGAAGCAAGUUUAACUUGAUCCCAAAUGUUUCAUUCCGAUUAGAACCGAAUUCACAAUAGACGAAUCUUCUUGAUAUUGCGGUGAUAAUAAAUCAGUGAAGGACGAACCGUAGUUGCUCUGAAAUUGAAAAGACAAUCAAUAUUGGAGGCGUUGUUGAAGCGGUAGGCGGUGGUAGCCGCCUGGGGCGGCCACGACCCACCAAUGGCGUGCUCAAUAUUUGUCGCACCUUACGGUCAACGACAUCCAUAUAUAAUUUUUAUAUUAUAUCUAUUGAGAAUGUUACAAUAACAAUGUAAAAACAUUCGUUUUAAUACUCACGUGUGUCUGCAGCAGUAGCAUGCUGGAAGAGUUGGACGAAAAAGCGCUUGGCGAGCGCGGCUCUAUGGCGCUCGGCCCUGCAACAACCAAACAUUUCACUUAAAAUGAAUUGAUCUAUUACGAUGAAUUUUUAUAGCGUAAAUAAAACAAUAUUUUUUUACACCGCGUUACGUAUUUCAAUUAUUGUAUCAGCAACAACAUUGGACAAUAACAACGGAGGGGUGGAUUGUAAAUGUGCUAGGAAACGGUUGGAUGUGAAAUUGACGGCGCCGUCUUUUGAACUAUCACGCUAUACUAGCCAAUGCCAUGCAUCAUUUAUAUUUACCCUCGGCGAACAUACUUUGAUUCUUCGUUCACCGAGCACUCGUAACUGAUUAAUCGAUAAAACUAUCGCGAUUUGAGCCUACUGACCGGCUGUCGAUCACUAUCCAACUGAGUAUUACGAGUGAGGAGCAAGAAGAAAGGUCUUCUAAUUUAUACUGCAGUUUUGCCAACCGAAUAUUGGCGUUUUUAAUACAUUGUGUCACGGUGCUUGAUUCGCCACGCCCCGAAAAUUGAAUCCUAUGUAUACACCUAGUCUAUCUUUGACAAUGAAAUGUGACAAACACCUAACUCUUUUCAUUGAAUAUUAGUUUUUAAUCCAAACCGAGUAAGUAUAGAUUCGCCUGGCGAUAAUACUUGAAAAUUUUUGGGGCGAAAAGGCGAUGGUUCCCUUGGGAGGUUAUGAAAUCAGUGGCAUUUGCAGUUUCUAUUAUGUUAAGAACCAUUAAUUCCAGUCUUAAUAAGCUAUAGACAAAACAGUAAAGCUUUGUUGUUAGUAAUUUUUUAUUGAAAAAAUAUAAAGGUAAAUGUAAUAUUUUUAUAUGUACCUAGCCAGGUAGAUACAUAAUAUAAAAUACCUUGAAUUGAAUAAGAUAUAAUAAGAAAAAAUAUGAGCGUAAUUUUUAGAAGAGGCAUUACUGUAGUUGGUGUUUAAAAUCCCAACAAGACAUUACAAUAAGACCUCCUGAUUAGAUCAAUAUAUUAUACAUAGGAUAUUUAGUUUAUGUAAUUUAUAUAAUCCAAAACAUUAUAUAAUU